Molecule: RNA transcript, 2799 nt
Organism: Olea europaea var. sylvestris
Lineage: Eukaryota; Viridiplantae; Streptophyta; Magnoliopsida; Lamiales; Oleaceae
Gene name: LRR receptor-like serine/threonine-protein kinase GSO1
Exons: 5
Source: RefSeq, a predicted model, not a curated record
UUCAUUCUUUAUCCUUAUUCAUUAUUAAUUUCCUUUUCUUGUGCCUUCUUAUGCAUGAGCCGAAGCGUCCCUGUUAUUUUGCUCACAGCCCUUCCAUAUCACUAAAUUAGUAGUUUGUUGUUUAUUACAUUUCAUCGUCGACACUUAAACAUUUUAAUUUCCCAUUUCUCAAUAAUUAACGUUGAUGAGUAUUACCCUAGAUAGUUCUCCAUUCCAGGCAUCAAAAGUAUGCAUCGUCUUCGAGUGCUAAAAUUAGAUGGCAUAAGUGUCUCCAACAUUAGCAACAUGGUGCAAUCUUUGAAGGCAUUCUCAUACCUCGAGCACUUCUAUUUUCGGGACAAUUAUAUAAAUGAAAGUAUUGGAACUUUUGAGUUGAGACAUUUAAGAUUGCUGGAGGGACUAUUCUUGGACAAUUCUACAGUCGAUGGGAACUUUCUACAAAGUAUUGGAGCAUUGAGUUCUCUCAAGAUUUUAUCUUUGUCUAGUUGCAAACUCAAUGGCAACCUACCCAUUCAAGCGUUGAGACAUUUAAGACAGUUGGAGCAAUUGUUCUUGGACUAUUCUGAUGUGGAUGGGAACUUUCUACAAAGUAUUGGAGCAUUGAGUUCCCUCAAGAUUUUAUCUUUGUCUAGUUGUGGACUCAAUGGCACCCUUCCCGUUCGAGGGUGGUGUGAACUUAAAAACCUCCAAGAGUUAUAUCUGAAUUGGAAUGAGUAUGAAGGAAUGCUUCCUUCAUGUGUUGCAAACAUGACCUCUCUUAGAUGGAUUGACCUCUCUUCCAAUAAGCUCACCGGAAAUAUUGCCUCAUCUCCACUUUCCAAACUCACAUCGCUCGAAGUUCUUUCUCUUUCAAGUAACCAUUUUCAAGUUCCAAUUUCUUUCAAGGCAUUCUUUAAUCAUUCGAACUUAAAGUCUUUAAAAGUGGGAAUCAAUGAAAUAAUAAAUGAAAACGAGUUGGAAAAAUGGGUUCCCAAUUUUCAACUAGAAGGUUUUGAUAUGUCAAAUUGUAGUGGCCAUCCAACACUACCCAACUUUUUGUACUAUCAAUCAAACUUGAGAUAUAUUAGUCUCUCAAAGAACAACAUAGGAGGGAAUUUUCCAACUUGGUUGUUAGAGAACAAUACAGGACUUUCGACACUUCUCCUGAGAGCUAAUGCUUUUUAUAGGAACUCUCAUGUUGCCAACAAGCACCAAUCAUGACAUGCAGAAUUUCGAUGUAACUAAUAAUAAGUUCAAUGGACGUAUUCCAAUUAACAUAACUUCUAUUUUUCCAAAUUUGUAUUUAUUAAACAUGUCAACAAAUAUGUUUGAUGGGUGUAUACCUUCUAGUUUUGGUGACUUAAAAUAUAUAGAUCAACUGGACUUGUCCAACAAUAACUUGUCAAGCACCAUUUCAAGUAGCUUGUCUACCAGAAAUUUAAUGGUGUUAGACAUUAGUAACAACCAUUUGUCUGGCAGAAUUCCCACUUCAGUGGGUAAUAUGACAUAUUUGAUAAUAGUUUCUAUGUCUAAUAACCAGCUUGAGGGUCUUAUCCCAAUGGAAAUUUGCAAUCUCGAGUAUCUUCACCUCUUAGAUUUAUCUCAUAACAAGUUAUGUGGUUCGGUCCCAUCCUGCUUCAAUACAUCAACAAUAAGUCAUGUCUAUCUGAACAAUAACCAAUUAGAAGGUGAGCUGAUAGAAGCAUUUUAUAAUAGCUCUUCGUUGGAGUUAUUGGAUCUCAGAGAGAAUAAGUUCACUGGAAGUAUCCCUCAAUGGAUUGGCACUCUAUCAAGCAUGAGAUUUUUUCUACUCAGCGGUAACCAUUUUGAAGGCAUGAUCCCUCACCAGUUUUGUGAGAUGAACAAACUAAGUUUGAUAGACCUUUCUUUUAAUUUCCUUUCGGGUCAAAUCCCGCAGUGCUUUGGUAACAUAUCAAUGGGGAAAACCAAGGAGAACUCUGAGUUAACAAUAAUUGUACUCGACAGAGUGCCAAUUAUAGUGACAUUUAAGACAAAGGGAAAUUCUUAUCCUUACAAAGGUUACAUCCUCAAUAACAUGUCUGGAAUUAAUCUCUCUUCCAAUAAAUUACAUGGUGAAAUUCCGGACAGCCUUGGAAAGUUAAGUGAGAUCCAUGCAAUCAACUUGUCCCACAACAAUCUUAAUGGAACAAUUCCAGCAACAUUCUCAAGCCUACAUCAGAUCGAGAGCUUAGAUCUCUCCUAUAACAACUUGGGUGGGAAGAUCCCCAAUGGUCUGAUUAAGUUAAACACUUUAGAAGUCUUCAACGUGUCACAUAACAAUUUAACAGGUACUAUACCAGAGAAAGGUCAGUUUGGAACCUUUGGUGAAGAUAGCUACCAGGGAAAUCCUUAUCUUUGUGGUCGUCCAUUACCAAUCAACUGUACUAGCACUAGAUCAUCACCUGUCCUGCCAUCUGCUAAUGAUGAAAGUGAGGAGCGCGGUUUCAUGGACAUGGAGGUCUUCUAUGUAAGCUUCAUCGUAUCUUACAUAUGUGUUGUGCUUUGCAUUGCUACAGUUCUGUACAUAAAUCCUCAUUGGAGAAGUGUAUGGUUCCAUUUCAUUGAGAUUUAUACAAUCCAAUUCUGAGGGCCAAGUGUUCUGGAAAGUAUUCCCCUAUUCAAAAUGAAGAUUUGAUCAUUUGAAGUAACGAACCAGUUGCAGGUUUGACUUUGACGUGAUUUGAUGGUGUAACUAUUAUUGAAGUUGAGUAUCAAACAUUUGGUUAACGAAAAGAUUUAUAUUAAUGCUUCGCUAGUUAUUUAUUUACAAAAAAAUUAAAUAAAUAAUAAAUAGAUAAA